GGGCCCGCACAAGCGGUGGAGCAUGUGGUUUAAUUCGAUGAUACGCGAGGAACCUUACCAGGACUUAAAUGCAUAACGAUCGGUUGAGAAAUCAACUUUUCUUCGGACGGUAUGCAAGGUGCUGCAUGGUUGUCGUCAGCUCGUGCCGUGAGGUGUCAGGUUAAGUCCUAUAACGAGCGCAACCCCUAUUCUUAGUUGCCAGCGGUUCGGCCGGGGACUCUAAGAAAACUGCCAGCGCAAGCUGUGAGGAAGGUGGGGAUGACGUCAAAUCAUCACGGCCCUUACGUCCUGGGCCACACACGUGCUACAAUGGUAGGUACAAAGGGCAGCCACUUGGCGACAAG
This 344-nucleotide ribosomal RNA is filed under the name uncultured bacterium. Its description in RNAcentral is "bacterial SSU rRNA". It matches the Rfam family "Bacterial small subunit ribosomal RNA", at positions 917 to 1264 of the family's 1533-position model. The record is from RNAcentral.